This 199-nucleotide long non-coding RNA is filed under the name Elaeis guineensis (African oil palm). RNAcentral describes it as "long non-coding RNA (EGUI_LNC020632)". The record is from RNAcentral. Lineage: Eukaryota; Viridiplantae; Streptophyta; Magnoliopsida; Arecales; Arecaceae.
UGCACCUCACCUGAUAGAUAUUGAUUAACACGUUACACUAAUGAGUGGACAACUCUUGUCCCAUACUUCUCCAAGCAUGAUGCAGCAAUUCGAUCUUUAAGUUAUGUGGCUCAUCUGACAGAUAUCGGCUAUACUUUUUAGUUAAGUCAGACCCAUCGUUCAUAAGCAGGUGCAAAGUCAUUAUUGGAUCCCUCACCUG